Molecule: transfer RNA, 70 nt
Filed under: Klebsiella pneumoniae
Lineage: Bacteria; Pseudomonadati; Pseudomonadota; Gammaproteobacteria; Enterobacterales; Enterobacteriaceae
Description: tRNA-Val
Rfam family: tRNA (bases 4-61)
About the family: Transfer RNA (tRNA) molecules are approximately 80 nucleotides in length. Their secondary structure includes four short double-helical elements and three loops (D, anti-codon, and T loops). Further hydrogen bonds mediate the characteristic L-shaped molecular structure. tRNAs have two regions of fundamental functional importance: the anti-codon, which is responsible for specific mRNA codon recognition, and the 3' end, to which the tRNAs corresponding amino acid is attached (by aminoacyl-tRNA synthetases). tRNAs cope with the degeneracy of the genetic code in two manners: having more than one tRNA (with a specific anti-codon) for a particular amino acid; and 'wobble' base-pairing, i.e. permitting non-standard base-pairing at the 3rd anti-codon position.
Source: RNAcentral
GAUUAGCUCAGCUGGGAGAGCACCUCCCUUACAAGGAGGGGGUCGGCGGUUCGAUCCAGUUGGUAGAGCA